Molecule: ribosomal RNA, 468 nt
Filed under: uncultured bacterium
Lineage: Bacteria
Description: partial 16S ribosomal RNA
Rfam family: Bacterial small subunit ribosomal RNA
Source: RNAcentral
GACGAACGCUGGCGGCGUGCUUAACACAUGCAAGUCGAACGGAAAGGCCCUGCUUUUGUGGGGUGCUCGAGUGGGGAACGGGUGAGUAACACGUGAGUAACCUGCCCUUGACUUUGGGAUAACUUCAGGUAACUGGGGCUAAUAUCGGAUAGGAGAUCCUGCUUCAUGGUGGGGGUUGGAAAGUUUCGGCGGUUGGGGAUGGACUCGCGGCUAUUCAGCUUGUUGGUGGGGUAGUGGCUUACCCAGGAUUUGACGGGUCGCCGGCCUGUGAGGGUGGACGGCGACAUUGGGACUGAGAUACGGCCCAGACUCCUACGGGAGGCAGCAGUGGGGAAUAUUGCACAAUGGGCGGAAGCCUGAUGCAGCAACGCCGCGUGCGGGAUGACGGCCUUCGGGUUGUAAACCGCUUUCGCCUGUGACGAAGCGUGAGUGACGGUAAUGGGUAAAGAAGCACCGGCUAACUACGUG